AAAGUAAUUUAAAUAUGGAUUUCACUGUAGCAACUUUUUGGAGGGAGGGACUUAUUUGUAUUUUUUAAUCUUCUACUUUUAAAAAAAAUAUUAUUACAAAAAAAAAAAUCCCCUUUUCUCUUUCCUCUCUCCCCGAUGCCACCUCCUUUCCCCCCACUCCCUUCCUUUCCGCCGUAUGUCCCCUCCUUCCAGCCGGCCCAAACUCCUUCUUCUUCCCCCUCCCUUGCCGAUGUCACCUCCUUCUUUUUCUUUCUUGCUGCUGACGACAAGUUGGAGGAAGGAAAGCUCCUUCCUUGCUGCCAACGCAAGAACAGCCGCCUACCGUCACUCUUUUGCCAGUCCGACAUCAGAAUCGUCCUCCCCACUGUCGACAACCCUAAGCCAGCUCCUCCACGUUGUUUAUCCUCCACCGACAGCCUUGGGAGAAUCUCACCAGAACAACUCCCUUCUCAUAACAAUCUAGCCGUUUCCGGUAAGGGCUAGGCAGUGAUUUUAGUGUUUUUGAACUCCCCAACUCAAGCUUCGCGUAGCCAUCUACGAAUUUGAAAUCCGACCCUGUUGGAGGUGCUGGAUUUCGUACCCUGAUGUUUUAUGGCGCGCACAAUUUUAGAUUUCAACUGGAUGGUGAAAUAUCAAGAAUUGAGUGGAAUUCAGCUUAAAGACAUGUUUUAAAGUAUCACUUAUCAAAAAUCAAGUCUUUUGGAGGAAGAAUGAAAAUUUAUGCAGAAGGUCGUUCUCAAUAAGGCGUGACAAUGCCCUACAAUCUGUGAGCUGUUGAAAUCUGUUGAAGAAAAUUUUAAAUUUUUUAAGUUAAAUUCGUGGUGGAUACAUUUUUAUGUUAUUUUAUGCAGAAGGUCAUUCUCAAUAAGGCUUGACCACACCCUACAAUCUGUGAGCUGUUGAAAUCUGUUGAAGAGAAUUUUGAAUUUUUUAAGUUAAAUUCGUGGUGGAUA
This is an RNA transcript of Ricinus communis (castor bean), 953 nucleotides long. RefSeq lists it as uncharacterized. The record is from RefSeq and is a predicted model, not a curated record. Lineage: Eukaryota; Viridiplantae; Streptophyta; Magnoliopsida; Malpighiales; Euphorbiaceae. The transcript has 2 exons.